This 292-nucleotide unclassified non-coding RNA is filed under the name plant metagenome. Its description in RNAcentral is "partial contains small subunit ribosomal RNA, internal transcribed spacer 1, and 5.8S ribosomal RNA". The record is from RNAcentral.
UUUCCGUAGGUGAACCUGCGGAAGGAUCAUUAUUGAAUAAACUUGGUUGGGUUGAUGCUGGCCUCUCGGUGCAUGUGCACGCCUACCGCCAUUUUUACCACCUGUGCACCCUUUGUAGACCUGGAUAUCUCUCGAGGAAACUCGGUUUGAGGACUGCUGUGCGUAAGCCAGCUUUCCUUGCAUUUCCGGUCUAUGUUUUCAUAUACCCCAUUAGAAUGUUAUAGAAUGUCAUUAAUGGGCUUCAUUGCCUUUAAAAUUAAUACAACUUUCAACAACGGAUCUCUUGGCUCUC